This 88-nucleotide unclassified non-coding RNA is filed under the name Pseudomonas psychrophila. Lineage: Bacteria; Pseudomonadati; Pseudomonadota; Gammaproteobacteria; Pseudomonadales; Pseudomonadaceae. The record is from RNAcentral.
UGUGGGAGCGAGCCUGCUCGCGAAGACUCCUGGUUUACUGGAUAACCGCGUUGCUCUUGAGACCUUCGCGAGCAGGCUCGCUCCCACG